This 292-nucleotide ribosomal RNA is filed under the name uncultured bacterium. RNAcentral's name for it is "partial 16S ribosomal RNA". It matches the Rfam family "Bacterial small subunit ribosomal RNA", at positions 505 to 796 of the family's 1533-position model. The record is from RNAcentral.
GUGCCAGCAGCCGCGGUAAUACAGAGGCCUCGAGCGUUAAUCGGAAUCACUGGGCUUAAAGGGUGCGUAGGCGGGUCCGUAAGUGCCUUGUGAAAUCCCCUGGCUUAACCAGGGAACGGCUGGGCAGACUGCGGGCCUUGAGGUCGGUAGGGGUCGCUGGAACGGUUGGUGGAGCGGUGAAAUGCGUAGAUAUCAACCGGAACGCCAAAGGUGAAGACAGGCGACUGGGCCGACUCUGACGCUGAGGCACGAAAGCGUGGGGAGCAAACGGGAUUAGAUACCCCGGUAGUCC